Molecule: ribosomal RNA, 301 nt
Filed under: uncultured bacterium
Lineage: Bacteria
Description: partial 16S ribosomal RNA
Rfam family: Bacterial small subunit ribosomal RNA
Source: RNAcentral
CAGUAGCCGCGGGAAUACGUAGGUCCCGAGCGUUGUCCGGAAUUAUUGGGCGUAAAGGGCUCGCAGGCGGUUUCUUAAGUCUGAUGUGAAAGCCCCCGGCUCAACCGGGGAGGGUCAUUGGAAACUGGGAAACUUGAGUGCAGAAGAGAAGAGUGGAAUUCCACGUGUAGCGGUGAAAAGCGUAGAGAUGUGGAGGAACACCAGUGGCGAAGGCGACUCUCUGGUCUGUAACUGACGCUGAGGAGCGAAAGCGUGGGGAGCGAACAGGAUUAGAUACCCCAGUAGUCCCUGUCUCUUAUAC